Molecule: small RNA, 173 nt
Filed under: Heyndrickxia ginsengihumi
Lineage: Bacteria; Bacillati; Bacillota; Bacilli; Caryophanales; Bacillaceae
Description: Bacillus ginsengihumi Manganese sequence
Rfam family: Manganese Mn2+ riboswitch aptamer (yybP-ykoY)
About the family: This RNA was originally discovered in E. coli during a large scale screen and was named SraF.
Source: RNAcentral
ACAAUUGUCAAAGGGGAGUAGCGUUAAGGAUGUUUGGCAUCCUUAAAACAAAGUCGUCAUUACAUGAUUUCGUUUUUCAGAAGUCAUCGGCUUUGUUGGCAUUCUGAAAAAAUGUCCAGCAAGACCUUUGCCUAUAAGGGCAGAGGUCUUGCUUUUUGUCUUUAUAGGAAGAU